UACGUAGGGGGCAAGCGUUGUCCGGAUUUAUUGGGCGUAAAGAGCGUGUAGGCGGUUCGGUAGGUCCGUUGUGAAAACUCGAGGCUCAACCUCGAGACGCCGAUGGAAACCCUCGAACUAGAGUCCGGAAGAGGAGAAUGGAAUUCCUGGUGUAGCGGUGAAAUGCGCAGAUAUCUGGAGGAACACCGGUGGCGAAGGCGGCAUCCUGGACCGAGAUUGACGCUGAUGCGCGAAAGCCAGGGGAGCAAACGGG
Molecule: ribosomal RNA, 253 nt
Filed under: uncultured bacterium
Lineage: Bacteria
Description: partial 16S ribosomal RNA
Rfam family: Bacterial small subunit ribosomal RNA
Source: RNAcentral